Long non-coding RNA from Contarinia nasturtii (swede midge), 769 nucleotides. RefSeq lists it as uncharacterized. Lineage: Eukaryota; Metazoa; Arthropoda; Insecta; Diptera; Cecidomyiidae. The transcript is spliced from 3 exons. The record is from RefSeq and is a predicted model, not a curated record.
UCAAUAUCAGACGCAAUUUUUUUAACUUCUUCAGUCGUAAAACGUAACGCGUUAUGUAUUAAAAUUUAUCCCCUAUCGAUUUCAAGAUGUUAACGAAAGACAGACAUCAUUUGUUUCAACAAUUGAAAGACGUAUUCUAUGUUAGAAACUUUCUUAUCAAGUUUUAAAGGAAUACUUCAACACUGGCUCAAGGAACGCUUUUGUCUCUGAAUAAAAAUUAUAAUAAUAAUAAAAAUUAAAGAAGAGUGAAUGUUAAUAUAAAUAAUAUGAGAUUUGAAAGUAAAAGACGACAUUAAAAAAAUUAGAAAAAGAACUAUUAUGUCCAAGAAUGUCAACAUUAAAUGAUCAAAAUAUCAAAGCCUUAACAAUCGGAUCAUUAUUGUCAUCAUCAAAACUAAUAAACGGUGACACAACGAAUGCGAAUUUUACACUGUUCAAUACAACAUCUGAACCAUUUUUUAAUAUAACUGGUCGAUUGAAUGUGUCCUUACAUAGUUUUGAUAACUACAGUUUCAUAACUGUAGAUGACGAUCUUUUAAAAAAGGAUCAUGUUUUUGAUAGAGGCGAUGUUCGAGUAAUAUUUACAAUUAUAUAUACCCUAGUAUUUUGCUGUUGCUUUUUCGGAAACUUAUUGGUUAUUCUUGUUGUAACAAUGUCACGCAGACUGAGAUCAAUCACAAAUUUCUUCUUGGCAAACCUUGCAGUCGCUGAUUUGUGUGUCGGUGUGUUUUGUGUAAUUCAGACUUUGACAUUUUACUUAAUUGAUAGG